UGAAACUAUAUAUGUUAAGUUGUCAGUUCCGUAUUGACAUAAACUCUGAAAACAAAAUAAUAAGAUUAACAUGCAAUAAAGAUGCAGUGCUCACUCUACAGUUAAUGAGUAGGGGAAACAUGCAUGCAUUUGUUUUUGACAAAAAUAAACAGUUCCGCUAAUCAAGUAUCACCUAGAUGCAGGCAUUUAAUGUUUUUCAAUUCUUUUGCAUUUCUUCUUUUAACACAUAAUAACAUGAAUCCAUUUUUUAUAUUGCUGAUAGCAAAUUCGUCACAUCAUCAUCCUGUCCCAUCUUGAACUUGAGAAGAAAAUGAGACCUAACCAAGAAAAAGGUGUCCACUCAAAGUACACUAUAUGAUUUUGCCUACUGCUCAAAAUUUCCUUCAUUUCCAUCAACAAUAAUUUUGGUGAUGAGGUGACGACCAAAAAAAUUGUUUGUAGUCCAUUACAUGAACUGUUAAGAAAUGGUCCAAAACCUGAACAUUGCAUGUUUUCUUAGCUUUUUUGUCCCAUCUGUUCUUUUAAACAUAUAAUAUUGAGCUCCAAGAUCUUUUUUUUUUCCAAGGAAGGAAAUUGCAUCAAAAGAAAGAAAAGAAUGAGAAAGAAAGAGGAAAAGGUAUCCUCCUAAGAUGAAAAGAAGAUAGAGGGGGAAAAAAAAAGAGCCCAGAUCAGAAUGAAAUGGCUCUUCCCCCAGGUCACCACAUAAGAACAAAUAACAAAUAUUUAAUUGGAGAGACCAACCUAUGGGAAAGGACAACAUGAAAGUUAAAAAUGAGGCAUGCAUGCAUUUCCUAGAGAGUGUUAACAUAAUCAAAUGGUACCAAGAAAUGGGGCCAAAAAAUAAAGAGAAUGGAGAAAUUAUGCUUUGUAUAUUCUUGAUCUUUAUUAUUGAAUAAUUAGUUAAAUUCACGGUGCAAUAAUAGGAUUUGUUUCGAGGUUCAAGAUGCAGAAAAGGUGAAGAAUAGGCAUACCAUGAUAACAAAGCUACCAAGCAAGUUUGCAAGC
This 1005-nucleotide unclassified non-coding RNA is filed under the name Hevea brasiliensis (rubber tree). The record is from RNAcentral. Lineage: Eukaryota; Viridiplantae; Streptophyta; Magnoliopsida; Malpighiales; Euphorbiaceae.